This 253-nucleotide unclassified non-coding RNA is filed under the name uncultured Hymenobacteraceae bacterium. RNAcentral's name for it is "contains 16S-23S intergenic spacer region". It matches the Rfam family "Bacterial small subunit ribosomal RNA", at positions 524 to 776 of the family's 1533-position model. Lineage: Bacteria; Pseudomonadati; Bacteroidota; Cytophagia; Cytophagales; Hymenobacteraceae. The record is from RNAcentral.
UACGGAGGGUGCAAGCGUUGUCCGGAUUUAUUGGGUUUAAAGGGUGCGUAGGCGGCCAAUUAAGUCAGGGGUGAAAUCCCGGGGCUCAACCCCGGAACUGCCUUUGAUACUGGUUGGCUUGAGUUCGGUAGAGGCGGGCGGAACUGGUGGUGUAGCGGUGAAAUGCAUAGAUACCACCAAGAACCCCGAUUGCGAAGGCAGCUCGCUGUGCCGAAACUGACGCUGAGGCACGAAAGCGUGGGGAGCAAACAGG